GCGGGGAAUCUUAGACAAUGGGGGCAACCCUGAUCUAGCCAUGCCGCGUGAGUGAUGAAGGCCUUAGGGUUGUAAAGCUCUUUCAGCGGGGAAGAUAAUGACGGUACCCACAGAAGAAGCCCCGGCUAACUCCGUGCCAGCAGCCGCGGUAAUACGGAGGGGGCUAGCGUUGUUCGGAAUUACUGGGCGUAAAGCGCACGUAGGCGGAUCGGAGAGGUGGGGGUGAAAUCCCAGGGCUCAACCCUGGAACUGCUUUCAAAACGAUCGGUCUGGAGUCCGAGAGAGGUGAGUGGAAUUCCGAGUGUAGAGGUGAAAUUCGUAGAGAUUCGGAGGAACACCAGUGGCGAAGGCGGCUCACUGGCUCGGUACUGACGCUGAGGUGCGAAAGCGUGGGGAGCAAACAGGAUUAGAAACCCGCGUAGUCC
RNAcentral lists this ribosomal RNA (425 nucleotides) under uncultured bacterium. RNAcentral's name for it is "bacterial SSU rRNA". It matches the Rfam family "Bacterial small subunit ribosomal RNA", at positions 354 to 796 of the family's 1533-position model. The record is from RNAcentral.